UACGGAGGAUGCGAGCGUUAUCCGGAUUUAUUGGGUUUAAAGGGUGCGUAGGUUGUUUUUUAAGUCAGCGGUGAAAGUUUGUGGCUCAACCAUAAAAUUGCCGUUGAAACUGGAAGACUUGAGUGUGUUUGAGGUAGGCGGAAUGCGUGGUGUAGCGGUGAAAUGCGUAGAUAUAUGGAAGAACACCAGUGGCGAAAGCGGCUCUCUGGUCUGUAACUGACGCUGAGGUUCGAAAGCGUGGGUAGCAAACAGG
RNAcentral lists this ribosomal RNA (253 nucleotides) under uncultured Parabacteroides sp. RNAcentral's name for it is "partial 16S ribosomal RNA". It matches the Rfam family "Bacterial small subunit ribosomal RNA", at positions 524 to 776 of the family's 1533-position model. The record is from RNAcentral. Lineage: Bacteria; Pseudomonadati; Bacteroidota; Bacteroidia; Bacteroidales; Tannerellaceae.